GGUGAACGCUGGCGGCGUGCUUAACACAUGCAAGUCGAACGGAAAGGCUCCUGCUUGCAGGGGUACUCGAGUGGCGAACGGGGGAGGAACACGUGGGUGAUCUGCCCUGCACUUCGGGAGAAGCCUGGGAAACUGGGCCUAAUACCGGAUAGGACGAGGGCUUGGAUGCCAUGGUGGAAAGUUUUUUCGGUGUGGGAUGAGCUCGCGGCCUAUCAGCUUGUUGGUGGGGUAAUGGCCUACCAAGGCGUCGACGGGUAGCCGGCCUGGGAGGGAGUACGGCCCCAUUGGGCUUGGGGUACGGCCAGUGGGCAAACGGGGGGCAGGGGCGGGAACUAGAGCACAAUGGGCCGAGGCGGGAUGGAGCGCCGCCGCGUGGGAGAGGCCGGCUUUCGGGUAGUAAACGCAUUUCGCUAGGAACGCGGCGCAAGGGACGGAACCUGGAGAAGAAGCACCGGCUAAUUACGU
RNAcentral lists this ribosomal RNA (465 nucleotides) under uncultured bacterium. RNAcentral's name for it is "partial 16S ribosomal RNA". It matches the Rfam family "Bacterial small subunit ribosomal RNA", at positions 28 to 506 of the family's 1533-position model. The record is from RNAcentral.